This is a long non-coding RNA of Felis catus (domestic cat), 3804 nucleotides long. RefSeq lists it as uncharacterized. The transcript is spliced from 8 exons. Lineage: Eukaryota; Metazoa; Chordata; Mammalia; Carnivora; Felidae. The record is from RefSeq and is a predicted model, not a curated record.
UACAGUACAUGAACAGUAUGAUAUGUCCUUACAAUUGCAGACGCCUUUUCAAAGAUAAUCUUUAAUAGUUUAUUUGACAACCUGUAAAAUUAUAGAAAAUUAUUAGUCUUGGGAAUUACAAAAAUCCCUGUAGUACAGUCAAACAAUAAAAUUAUAAUUACCUGUGGGUAAUUGAAAUUUAACUGUUUUUUUAUUGUAUAUUACACAUCAAUAGCAACAUAAGUUCAAGAGGUUUUUUUCUUCUUUCCUUUUUUCUUACAGAACCUGAGAAAAUGGACAGCACUGUUGGGGGCUUGUGAGUUCCUGUCACAGUACUGAGCUUGAACAAUUUCGAUUAAAGCCCCAUGUUUGAGACUGUCAUUAGACCUGCAUUAAAUUACAUAUCUGGAGUGUUAAAAAAUAAAGAGUACAGUAGCUUUUUCUCAGCUACCUAAGGUGAGUGAAGCUGCAAGUUGAGGCCCUGUCCACAUAUAAAUACUGGAAGAGCUGAAGUCCAGGGAGACUGCUGAAAAAAAAAUUGACAACAACAACAAAAGACUUUAUUUUUUAUUGCACGAGGCCCACAUAUGACUUUGAAUAUUUUUUAGUCUGUUGUUUGGUGACGCCUAAGAAGAGUCCUGCUGCCAAUGUUCCUCACCUUGCCUCCCGUGGAAAGGGAAUGAUGUGCACAGACUCUUGUUAUGCAAAGGGAAAAAACAAGGGACAAUAUGUUGCUGCUGAUGCAGGUGAUGAUGAUACAACCCAGCAGAAGAAGAUGAACUUCUUCCUGAAGAUGGAGCGACUACUCCUGGUCCGUGAUAAGGGAACCCCUGUUUGGGGCUGCCAUGUCUCUCCCAAACUUUUGUUAUCAGUGGAGCUUAGAACGUAGACCAUCUGUCACAGAGAGUCCCAACUACGUUUUGGAGAUCAGGGUUUUAAGAAGGAAGAAAGGAAGAGGAAAACAUGGAAGAUCUUUAAGAGUUUAUUGCUGGAAAAGGGAAGAUGCCUCACUCUAUGACAAGAAUCUUCUGGAAUAUAAUGACAUCAACUUGUCCUCCAGUGCCACUGUAACACAUUUUGAGAGAAGUUCGCGUAUUUGCUGAGAACAUGUUCAGGGAUCCUCUUUCAGCUGCCCCUGCUUGAUUGCUCCCAGAAUGCACUGGCUGAUGCCUCCACGGCAGGAAGUUUUCACCAGACAGCAUUUGCAAAUACUGGGGACAACAGAAUGACAACCCAGGAAAAGAGAAACAAAGAACUGAAUGAAAGGAACCUGCCCAUCUCACAGACACUCCGCCAUCUGAAGCGUCCCUGAAGUACGGCUAGCUCUCCAGCUGGGCACUCCCAUCUCAGAGAAUGGGACCUACACUUCUCCUGAGAGAUGAGCCCAACGCCUAAUGGAUCUCAAUGUCAGAAAGACUUCCGCGAUACCCAUCUCACAUCCUCCUCUCCUGAAUUUCUUCACAUUGCUCUCAGUUAGAGCGCAGCUUCGAGGAAAGGAGAAUGGCCUCUCCAACGGAAACCAGCAACCAACACUGAAAGGUCUCUGCCGGCUCUCUGAGGGUUACCAGGAAGUCCGAGACCCGGGGACUCCUCUCAAGCAGUAUCAUCUUGUUAGAAAAUUACUCAGAGAUUAAGGAGUACACGCGUCGUGAUGAGCACCGAGUGACGUAUGGAAGAGUGGAAUCACUAUAUUGUACACCCGCAACUAUUAUAACACUGUAUGUGACCUAUACUGGGACGAAAAUAAAAACUUAAAAUUAAAAAAAUAAAAUUACUCAGAGAUAGGCAAAAUCACACCAAGGAUGGGACGCAACCGAUGCUAAGCAGAAAAGACAAUGGGUGCCGGAAAAGUUCAGAGCGGGGGAGUGCACUGUAGGCUGAAGACAUAACUGAGGGCUUCACGGUAGGGCAGAGUUUGGGCAGGAUCUCACAAGAGUAUAAUCCAGACGUGUCUACAGGACGCAGUGAAAGGCAAUGGGGAAAGGAGGUAGACAAGGUGAGGAGCCAGGUUUGUGCCACAGGGGUUCCGGUGACAAUGUGUGGUCAGUGAGACUCAACGUGAGGUUAUUGAAGUUGCCCCGAAGUCAUCUGUUGCCAUCAUCUAAGUGUUCUCCCCUACUUCUCAAAUGUUCUCCAUAAUCUAGAACUUCCACUGACCGCAGUCUGAGAUGAGCCUAAGAAAGAAACUUCUGGCCUCUGUUCUGGUGUAAUAUACACUGUAGCCUGAGUUUCAAAGAAAGCAGAGCCUAGGGCAAUGGUGUAUGUGCUUCUCUUUGAUUAGGGAAUAAAGCCCAGGAAGCAAAGGAGGGAAAAGGGGAUAAGACAAGAAAGAGAGUGCUGAGCUGGCCCCUGCUGGGGAGCAAGUGUCACUGCUUGCUCCAUGUUGUGGACUUUCUCCUAAAAGGAUGCCCUUUCAUGGCUGCAUCCCACAACACUUGGUUGGUAAGAAGCAGGAGGAAGAUUUAUCUGUCAGCUUCUGCCUACCAAUGGCCAAAGGUUCCCUCCAUGGGACCUUAGCUUCCCUACACUCCGGGGCUGUGCGCACAUGAGUUCUCAGUUGUCCUGUAGCCUCGCACACCUUGGAGUCAAUAGGAGGAAAAGCCAGGAUGGGGGAGCAUGCACUUAGACCCGUUCAUCCCUGAAGUGGCACUUGUGUCCAGAAGCUUCAUAAGUGAGCUGAGAUCAUCUGAACUGGCACACGGAGGUGCCUGACUCAUAUGACAAGCCUUUUCUCCUAAUUCCAUGAAUUCUAUCAUUUUUUAAUCUUCAGGUGGUUGUCUUAAAAACAGCAGUCCUGAAAGAGUGAACAUUGAAAGACAUUGAACAAAAAGUCCUGAAGAUCAAAACACACCUUCCCCUCCCCUCCCAGGCCUUUCCCUGGGAUAUAACAGGGCCUUGUUUCAUCUUUGACAAAUGUGGAACAAGACUACGUAGUAGUCUUUACUAAUUAAAUAAGCAACUUUGCUGUGGAAAUAUCAACUGAUGUCAAAUAAUAGCCAUGUACCCGACUAAAGAGGAAGGAAGUCCUAGAAUAAUGUCAGAAUGUGUUUUUCCCCAUUCCACAUUUUCCUAUCUCCUCUGCUAAGUAAAGAUGUAGGCACUUUGUAAACAGAGACUGAACAUAUAAAGAUAGAUUUAUAGGAUGUUCAGUGGAUGAAUGAAUGAAUGAAUGAAUUAAAAGUCAACUCAGAAACCGACCAAGAAACCCUGAGUGAAUAUCCAUAGCACAAACCAGUGAUUCUCCAGCUUUAGCUUGCAUCAGCAUUACUGGAGUGGGUUUGGUAGAACAGAAUCCCCUGGAAGGGUUGUCAGAAAACAGAACCCAGUUGUUCCCAAAUGUCACUGAUGCUGCUAUACCCUCAGACCAUACUUUGAGAACCAGUGCACAAGCCAACCUGAAUCUGUCACUUUUGGUCAAACAGCUGCUAACCCAAAGGUCAUGGGAAUAUGUGUAGAUUAUCUAAUUUUUCUGAAUAAUUUAGGUUUAACCUGAAAAAUCUUUUGGUCGAGGAGGAUUUUGGCAUGAGUGUAUUAACUGCUUGCCACCCCAGAACUACUGAAUCGCUCAGUAACUUUUGUUUUCCCCUAGUAAGGAUAGGGAUGCACAUGAUUGGCAAGGUCUUGCAGUUCCUCUGGGUCAUUCUUGAGAUCCAGGACAAAAAAAAAAAAAAAAAAGGAUUUAUAAACAUUGUAUUAACUCUAAAUUGACCUCAAAGCAAUCCAAUGUCAUUUUCUCUCUCUCUCUCUCUCUCUCUCUCUCUCUCUCGUAAAUUAAAUAAGUAUUUGAAAUUGCUAUUGGUUAAUAAAAACCCAAAUAUCACCUUA